AUGUAUUGUGGCAAGUCUCGUGAUGCAACAAUUGUGCUAGAGGCCGUAGCAUUCGAGGAUUUAUGGAUUUGGCAUUGCUUUUUUGGUAUGCCCGGCACAUUCGAUGAUAUCAAUGUGUUGCAACGCUCUCAUUUGUUUGCUAGGCUUGCUAGUGGUGAUGCUCCUGCUUGCAACUACACUAUCAAUGGGCAUGAAUACACAAAGGGGUACUAUCUAGCAGAUGGUAUAUAUCCUCCUUGGUGCACAUUUGUCAAGAGCAUCAAAGAACCCAAAACAAAAAACAAUGUGAAUUUUCAAGGGUGCAAGAGGCAGCCCGAAAAGACAUUGAAAGAGCAUUCGGUGUUUUGCAAUCUAGGUUUGCCAUUGUCCGAGGUCCUGCUCGUUUUUGGGAUAAGAAAACCCUGA
This 405-nucleotide ribosomal RNA is filed under the name Triticum aestivum (bread wheat). RNAcentral's name for it is "partial small subunit ribosomal RNA". The record is from RNAcentral. Lineage: Eukaryota; Viridiplantae; Streptophyta; Magnoliopsida; Poales; Poaceae.